AUACGGAGGAUGCGAGCGUUAUCCGGAUUUAUUGGGUUUAAAGGGUGCGCAGGCGGCCGUGCAAGUCAGCGGUGAAAGCCCGGGGCUCAACCCCGGAAGUGCCGUUGAUACUGCAUGGCUGGAAUGCGGUCGAGGCGGGCGGAACGUGGCGGGGAGCGGGGAAAUGCGUAGAUAUGCCACAGAACGCCGAUAGCGGAGGCAGCUCGCCAGGCCUGCAUUGACGCUCGGGCACGAAAGCGUGGGGAUCGAACAGGAUUAGAUACCCUGGUAGUCCACGCCGUAAACGAUGGGCGCUCGUCGUCGGCGGCAGACAGUCGGCGGCCAAGCGAAAGCGAUAAGCGCCCCACCUGGGGAGUACGGUCGCAAGGCUGAAACUCAAAUGAAUUGACGGGG
RNAcentral lists this ribosomal RNA (393 nucleotides) under uncultured bacterium. Its description in RNAcentral is "partial 16S ribosomal RNA". It matches the Rfam family "Bacterial small subunit ribosomal RNA", at positions 523 to 918 of the family's 1533-position model. The record is from RNAcentral.